GAUGAACGCUAGCGGCAGGCUUAAUACAUGCAAGUCGAGGGGCAGCACGGGUAGCAAUACCUGGUGGCGACCGGCAAACGGGUGCGGAACACGUACGCAACUUUCCCAAAACUGGUGAAUAGCCCUCCGAAAGGAGGAUUAAUACACCGUAACAUAAUGAAGUGGCAUCACUUUAUUAUUAUAGCUCCGGCGGUUUUGGAUGGGCGUGCGCCUGAUUAGGUAGUUGGCGGGGUAACGGCCCACCAAGCCUUCGAUCAGUAACUGGUGUGAGAGCACGACCAGUCACACGGGCACUGAGACACGGGCCCGACUCCUACGGGAGGCAGCAGUAAGGAAUAUUGGACAAUGGGCGAAAGCCUGAUCCAGCAAUGCCGCGUGAGUGAUGAAGGCCCUAGGGUUGUAAAGCUCUUUUACCAGGGAUGAUAAUGACAGUACCUGGAGAAUAAGCUCCGGCUAACUCCGUGCCAGCAGCCGCGGUAAU
This 481-nucleotide ribosomal RNA is filed under the name uncultured bacterium. RNAcentral describes it as "bacterial SSU rRNA". It matches the Rfam family "Bacterial small subunit ribosomal RNA", at positions 28 to 524 of the family's 1533-position model. The record is from RNAcentral.